GGAAUCUUAUUUACACUGGUUUUGAAAGUUGAGGGACACAACUAAUUUUAGAAUCGACGAUAAAUUGAAGGACCUCAAGUGAACUAACUCCGAGGAUAAAUCCACAUGGAAAAAGUACACCCAAGGUCCCUCAACUUGUUAUCGGGAUAAAAAACGUCCUCAAACCGUAAAACCAGAUACCGCGAGUCCCUUAACUAUACAAAACCGGUCACAAUAGGUCCCUCGGUGGU
RNAcentral lists this unclassified non-coding RNA (230 nucleotides) under Oryza sativa (Asian cultivated rice). RNAcentral's name for it is "partial microRNA MIR492 precursor". The record is from RNAcentral. Lineage: Eukaryota; Viridiplantae; Streptophyta; Magnoliopsida; Poales; Poaceae.